Megalopta genalis is the source of this 576-nucleotide non-coding RNA. The record is from RefSeq and is a predicted model, not a curated record. NCBI's taxonomy places the organism in Eukaryota, Metazoa, Arthropoda, Insecta, Hymenoptera, Halictidae.
AUGUUUAGUACAUACAUACAUUAUUAAGCACUACACAGUUUCAUUAAAAUCAGAAUUUUCAAAUUGAACAAAUUUGUUAGUAACAUUGCGACACAAUAUUCGAGAAUUAUUCAAGUGUAUAAAAAGAUUUCAAAACUAUUGUAAAACGUUGCAACAAACAAGAUCAAUCAACUAUAUUCCCACUUAAACUACAAUACGGUAGCAUUACAUAGAAAAUAGAUGAUAGUACAAAUCAUUUAUCGAUAACAAUAUUUUGGUAAUACAAUAUCGAUGUAAGAAGCUUUAAGAAUAUAAUAGGCCUCACCGAAGCGUAAUGUCUGAUAUGCAUACAUACAGAAUAUCAGGCAAUUGGCAAGAUCUAAAGUCAACAUAAUACAUACAAAAUUAUCAAUAGCGAGUUCUUUACUGAAAAAAAUGCCACGCAUAAAUCGUUAUAGUAUGCGACAUUUUCAUAAAAGUGUGUAAUGUAAAUUGCAGAGUUCUUUGUACAUAAAAAACUAAUAAGAAACAAAUUGUAAAUUAGCAAUACUUUUUUACAAAAUGGUUACUAAAUAAUUAAUCUUUUUUAUUAGUUUA